AGCGAAACUGCNAAUGGCUCAUUAAAACAGUUAUAGUUUAUUUGAUAAUCGAAUCUACAUGGAUAACCGUGGUAAUUCUAGAGCUAAUACAUGCUGGCGUGCCCGACUUUGUGGAAGGGCGGUAUUUAUUAGAUAACAAGCCAAUAUUCCUUGUGUCUAUUGUGGUGACUCAUAAUAACUGAUCGAAUCGCACGGCCUACGGCCGCGAUAAGUCAUUCAAGUUUCUGCCCCAUCAGCUUUCGAUGGUAGUGUAUUGGACUACCAUGGCGUUUACGGGUAACGGAGGAUUAGGGUUCGAUUCCGGAGAGGGAGCCUGAGAAACGGCUACCACAUCUAAGGAAGGCAGCAGGCGCGUAAAUUACCCAAUCCUGACUCAGGGAGGUAGUGACAAGAAAUAACGGACCGUUCGCCAUCUGGCGUCGGGACUGCAAUGAGCCGAAUUUACACCCCUUAGCGAGGACCAAUU
RNAcentral lists this ribosomal RNA (466 nucleotides) under uncultured marine alveolate. Its description in RNAcentral is "SSU rRNA". It matches the Rfam family "Eukaryotic small subunit ribosomal RNA", at positions 80 to 549 of the family's 1831-position model. The record is from RNAcentral.